CUGUUUGUGAUGAUUACUCAGCGAUAUGCGAUUAAAAGCUUCAAAUUUGCAGAAACCCAUCUUCUUCAGCUCCUACUCUGCCCAUGAUAUUCUCAGAGCGUCUUUCAUUGAGAAGUUUCUGGUCUCCAGAAUCCUUUUUGUGCACUUAAGAUUCCUUCUUGGUGUUUGGAGAAAGUUAAGUGAACAUCCCAGUGCAGUGACUUCAACAUGUUCUCAACUUCUCUUAUCACAUUUGAUUCGUCACGAACUAUUAGUUUACCUCCUGGUCUUACUAUUCUAUCCACUUCUGCCAUUACUGGAACAAGAUUGCACCUUUCAAAACAAAACAAAACAAGAGACUUAUUGUUGAUGAAACGUUACCAAAAGGUGUGGAUAUUAUGAGUUACGCUUAUACCUUGUUCUCAACUUUGAGAAAAGAUGAUCUGCAUGUAAGAGAUCAUAGCUUCGAGGUGUUCAUAAUCUGUAGUGAAAUCUCGAGGAGCUGGUUUCCCAUAUAUCCCCAUUUGAGAGCUGUUUAACCAGUAAGGCGGUGUUUGAAGCCGACGGGGCCAAUUCACGGGCCACUUGCUUCCUCUCUCGACCACAUUGGUUUCUGGUAGAUUGCAGCACCAAUACCAUUGAGUUUAUCCUUGUUGAUUGUCACAAGUUCCCAGCACAAGGAUUUUGUCAACGCGGACAUUUCUACAUCACUCAAAACAUCUCAGGUUCAGUGAAACAAACAAAAGAAGGAGGAACUCUAGUUAAGUUCAAGCAUUUUACUUUAGUCAUUACCUUUCCAGAUUUGAACAUCUUCUUCAAGCUUCUGGUAGACUGGUGUUGCUGACCAGACAAAAUAACCUCCAGGCCUAAGCAUCCGAUUAAGUUCCAGAAGAAGCAUACCACCCUCAUUAUGCCAUGGGACUCUACAACGUGCACAGUGGAUAAGAUCAAACACUCUGCUCGGGAAUGGCAGUCGCUUAGAGCCCAUAACUGCUGAGAUGGCUGGAAUCUUUCUUUCAAGAGCAAACUGGACUUGAGCCUCGUGUUCAUCUUUUGGUGCAAGAGACAUUGCUAUAACAUCUCUUUCAAAGAGGAAACCGCCAAAGCUCGCCACUCCACAUCCAACAUCCAAUAUGACCCGAGUACGUUUACCCCACGCAAUGUUUUUCAAAGACUGCCAUAGUAGAAAAAAGGAACCAUUAUAUUCUGCAUAAAAUUUCUAUCUUUUACUUGUUGCAGUUUUAACACUAUACUGAAAUCAAGAAAUGAGUGUUCACCUGCUGAAGAAAAUCGAUAUAAUGAAGAGCUCCAUGGAUGAACUGUGUUCCACCACCAGGAAACGUCAAGAACUCGCCAGUGACCUUCACCCAGUUCUGAUGUCCUUUUACCUCAGCUAGCUUUGUGUGUGGGACAUUGUGGUACCAUAUCUACUAGAUCACAUGCCACUUGAUGGCCUCCUUAUAACCUUCUGGGAGGGGGACGAGACACGUUGACUUUACGGCAUCGUCUGGAAGCUUUCCCGGAUUGUCUUCAAAUGCCUGUUGCUCAUCAGACUCUUGUUUCGUGGGUUCGGGCUCAUCAUUACCGUUUGAAGAGGCAGACACAUCACUCCUCUCUGUCUCUGCGACAGCCGCUCGAGUGGAGCCUUGUGUGAUCUGCGGUGGAAUAACGGAAUUGGAAGAAAGCAUCCACACCCCGAAGACACACAGAGCCACAAAGAUGACCAUUGUAAUGGUCGACGCAUAGGACGACGUCGAAGUGCGUUUGUUGCCACGUCCCCUCCCGAAGGCCAUCUUUACGGUCUUGCGUAUAGUACUAGUUAUGGAGAAAGAAGAAGAAGAAAAAUGAAGGAGUAAAAUGGGAGUUGAAGGAAGUAAAAAUAGAAGAAAAAGAAGAGAAAGAGAGGUUGUGAAGAGACAAGACUGGAUCAAAGAUCCUAUAGAGUCGGAUAUGGGACUUUCAAUUUCGUGUCUCUAAAUUUAGUUAUGGUCUCUGUGUUUCAUAUUUUGUUGUCCAUGAAAAAUUAGUGCCAUGUAAUCCAAUGUUAACUUGUAACGCCUAGUCAAGGAUAUAUUAAACAUGGCAAGCUUGUGCUUUUUUGGUAUAAUGUAUUCGAAGACUGUUUAAUUUGAAUUUUGAUUGAUUAAGUAUGUUGAUUUCAAUUUGAGUGUAUUUUUUGGUUGUUAUGGUAUUAUUUAUAAAAACAU
This 2186-nucleotide long non-coding RNA is filed under the name Arabidopsis thaliana (thale cress). RNAcentral describes it as "potential natural antisense gene, locus overlaps with AT3G51070 (AT3G51075)". The record is from RNAcentral. Lineage: Eukaryota; Viridiplantae; Streptophyta; Magnoliopsida; Brassicales; Brassicaceae.